This 661-nucleotide ribosomal RNA is filed under the name uncultured bacterium. RNAcentral describes it as "bacterial SSU rRNA". It matches the Rfam family "Bacterial small subunit ribosomal RNA", at positions 94 to 788 of the family's 1533-position model. The record is from RNAcentral.
AGUGGCGGACGGGUGAGUAACGCGUGAGAAUCUGCCUUCAGGUCGGGGACAACAGAGGGAAACUUCUGCUAAUCCCGGAUGAGCCUUAGGGUAAAAAAUUUAUUGCCUGGAGAUGAGCUCGCGUCUGAUUAGCUAGUUGGUAAGGUAAAAGCUUACCAAGGCAACGAUCAGUAGCUGGUCUGAGAGGAUGAGCAGCCACACUGGGACUGAGACACGGCCCAGACUCCUACGGGAGGCAGCAGUGGGGAAUUUUCCGCAAUGGGCGAAAGCCUGACGGAGCAAGACCGCGUGGGGGAGGAAGGCUCUAGGGUUGUAAACCCCUUUUCUUUGGGAAGAACAAAAUGACGGUACCAAAGGAAUCAGCCUCGGCUAACUCCGUGCCAGCAGCCGCGGUAAUACGGAGGAGGCAAGCGUUAUCCGGAAUGAUUGGGCGUAAAGCGUCCGCAAGUGGCAAUGUAAGUCUGCUGUCAAAACCCAGGGCUCAACUCUGGUCAGGCAGUGGAAACUACAUAGCUAGAGUUCGGUAGGGGCAAAGGGAAUUCCCGGUGUAGCGGUGAAAUGCGUAGAGAUCGGGAAGAACAUCGGUGGCGAAAGCGCUUUGCUAGACCGAAACUGACACUCAGGGACGAAAGCUAGGGGAGCGAAUGGGAUUAGAUACCCC